UGAGGAAUUUUCCGCAAUGGGCGAAAGCCUGACGGAGCAAUGCCGCGUGGAGGUAUAGGCCCGUGGGUCAUAAACUCCUUUUUUCAGAGAAGAAGAUCUGACGGUAUCUGAAGAAUAAGCUCCGGCUAACUCUGUGCCAGCAGCCGCGGUAAUACAGGGGGAGCAAGCGUUAUCCGGAAUGAUUGGGCGUAAAGCGUCUGUAGGUGGUUUAGAAAGUCCACUGUCAAAUCCCAAGGCUUAACCUUGGUCAGGCAUUGGAGUACUUCUAAGCUAGAGUAUGGUAGAGGUAGAGGGAACCCCUAGCGUAACAGUGAAAUGUGUUGAUUUUAGGGAGAACACCAGAGGCGAAGGCGCUCUACUGGGCCAAAACUGACACUGAGAGACGAAAGCUAAAGGAGCG
Molecule: ribosomal RNA, 400 nt
Filed under: uncultured bacterium
Lineage: Bacteria
Description: bacterial SSU rRNA
Rfam family: Bacterial small subunit ribosomal RNA
Source: RNAcentral